GAUUAACGCUGGCGGCAUGCCUAAUACAUGCAAAUCGAACGAAGCCUUUUUGGCUUAGUGGUGAACGGGUGAGUAACACGUAUCCAAUCUACCCUUAAGUUUGGGAUAACUAGUCGAAAGAUUAGCUAAUACCGGAUAAUAACAUUUACUUGCAUGAGUGAAUGUAGAAAGUUGCGUUUGCAACGCUUUUGGAUGAGGGUGCGACGUAUCAGAUAGUUGGUGAGGUAACGGCUCACCAAGUCAUUGACACGUAGCUGUACUGAGAGGUAGAACAGCCACAAUGGGACUGAGACACGGCCCAUACUCCUACGGGAGGCAGCAGUAGGGAAUUUUUCACAAUGGGCGAAAGCCUUAUGAAGCAAUGCCGCGUGAACGAUGAAGGUCUAUAAGAUUGUAAAGUUCUUUUAUUUGGGAAGAACCACUAAAAUAGGAAAUGAUUUUAGUUUGACUGUACCAUUUGAAUAAGUAUCGGCUAACUAUGUGCCAGCAGCCGCGGUAAUACAUAGGAUGCAAGCGUUAUCCGGAUUUACUGGGCGUAAAACGAGCGCAGGCGGAUUUGUAAGUUUGGUAUGAAAUCUAGAUGCUUAACGUCUAGCUGUAUCAAAAACUACGAAUCUAGAGUGUAGCAGAGAGUUGGGGAACUCCAUGUGGAGCGGUAAAAUGCGUAGAUAUAUGGAAGAACACCGGUGGCGAAGGCGCCAACUUGGACUAUUACUGACGCUUAGGCUCGAAAGUGUGGGGAGCAAAUAGGAUUAGAUACCCUAGUAGUCCACACCGUAAACGAUCAUCAUUAAAUGUCGGCUCGCUUAUGAGUCGGUGUUGUAGCUAACGCAUUAAAUGAUGUGCCUGGGUAGUACAUUCGCAAGAAUGAAACUCAAACGGAAUUGACGGGGACCCGCACAAGUGGUGGAGCAUGUUGCUUAAUUUGACAAUACACGUAGAACCUUACCUAGAUUUGACAUCUAUUGCAAUGCUAUAGAAAUAUAGCGGAGGUUAACAAUAUGACAGGUGGUGCAUGGUUGUCGUCAGCUCGUGUCGUGAGAUGUUGGGUUAAGUCCCGCAACGAGCGCAACCCCUUUCGCUAGUUAAUUUAUCUAUCGAUACUGCUACCGCAAGGUAGAGGAUGGUGGGGAUGACGUCAAAUCAUCAUGCCCCUUAUAUCUAGGGCUGCAAACGUGCUACAAUGGCUAAUACAAACAGCUGCAAUACCGUAAGGUGGAGCGGAUCUGAUAAAGUUAGUCUCAGUUCGGAUAGAGGGCUGCAAUUCGCCCUCUUGAAGUUGGAAUCACUAGUAAUCGCGAAUCAGACAUGUCGCGGUGAAUACGUUCUCGGGUCUUGUACACACCGCCCGUCAAACUAUGGGAGCCGGUAAUAUCUAAAACCCGUACUGUUAACCUUUUUGGAGGCAUACGUCUAGGGUAGGAUUGGUGACUGGAGUU
This 1439-nucleotide ribosomal RNA is filed under the name uncultured bacterium. RNAcentral's name for it is "partial 16S ribosomal RNA". It matches the Rfam family "Bacterial small subunit ribosomal RNA". The record is from RNAcentral.